UCACUGAGUCGGCCAAUCGUGAUCUCCUUCGUAGCAGAGUCGAAGAUUGUUUUCCACCUCAGUUGUUGCAAUGGAAGGGGAUUUAGAAGGAGGGAGACAUGAACUAGCGAAACCAAAUGAAUGUGCACUUGGGGUUAUUAUGUGUUUUCACGAAGUUUUCGUUUAGUCAUUAAAUUUCCGAUUAAAAGGAAACCAGCAAGUACACGGAAUUAACAACCAGGCGGAGAAAUGGUGUCACUUAGCAACUGGAAGGCCCGUCUCCUACACCCCCCCCCCCCUUCCCUCCCUUUCCCAGUGUAAGUGGAGUACUCACAAUCAAGGUGCUUCUUCUUGGGGCCCAUCACUUCAUGUGUGGUGGCUUUACAGGCUGCCUUGGUAACAGCUGAGCCGGUGACACUGUGCUGGGCUGCGGUGAUCCGGUCCGUGAUCGACUGACCCGACAUGAUGACCCUUCUCAGGUGCGAGGAGGGCUUGGCUCUCCUGUGGACAGAAAAACAGAGUUACUGUUUUGAGUCUAAUAUCAUUCUUGUUUGAAACCGAGCAGAACUGCAUGAUUGAAAGAGAAUGGUGUGGAUUCUUGUCCCCCAAGCAUCAAAACCAGCAUUGCAAAAUAAAAUCACAUGGUCUAUAAAUGGAAUUUGAUGUGAGUCAAUUUUAAAUUGGACUUUGAAAACAGGAUAUGAGGAAACACACCAGUGCCUACCUUUUAAGAGGUGGGAAAAAGAAAAGAAACUAAACACCACCUUGGUUACGGACAAUGGAGGAGAACAGUAAAAAUUAUUUGAUCCACCUCUCCCUCUUGUCUGUGACGCUGCCACCUUUCAGGAUUUAAAGAUGCUGAAGCCACUUUUACAGCUACUGAGAAGAUCAAUUGAACCAGUGGACGCAGAUCACAUUUGAAGAUGGAUAACUUUCAAACAAAUCUGUGGAAAUUAUUAAUUCAAUGAACAAAAAAGCAAUCUGUGUAAUAGACUCCCUUUAAAAAAUGGUGAAAGCAAACAGAAAUGAUUGACUCAAACGUAUAUAUUUAUGUUAUAAAACAGUAAAAGAUUAAAAGGAUACCGUAUAUGAGUAAUCUGAGAUUGACGUAUAAGUGCAGCAUGUUUGGGAGGAUCAGGUGACUUUGUAACUAUGGUACACACAGCUCCAUACCAUUGGGGUUUUCCAUGCCUCAUGUCAAGGCAUGUUGUAGAUUAUAAAUAAAAGAUUUAUUGCUAUGAUUA
Rhincodon typus (whale shark) is the source of this 1223-nucleotide long non-coding RNA. RefSeq lists it as uncharacterized. Lineage: Eukaryota; Metazoa; Chordata; Chondrichthyes; Orectolobiformes; Rhincodontidae. The record is from RefSeq and is a predicted model, not a curated record. The transcript is spliced from 4 exons.